RNAcentral lists this long non-coding RNA (301 nucleotides) under Manihot esculenta (cassava). RNAcentral's name for it is "long non-coding RNA (MESC_LNC006940)". The record is from RNAcentral. Lineage: Eukaryota; Viridiplantae; Streptophyta; Magnoliopsida; Malpighiales; Euphorbiaceae.
CGGUUUCUCUUCUUUCCUCGACGGCUCAUCCGUCCUCCCGUUCCUCCAACAAUCAUGUUGAUGGUCCCACUGGACCCAUCAUUCACUGGUCCAGCUCCUAUUCUCCUAGGCGUCUGAGUUGUCGGACCAGGCUGAGGCCUCUGUCCCUCUGGUUUCUUCACAAAAUUUUUGAGGUGCCCCCUUUUUAUCAGCCUCUCAAUCUCCGCGAUUAACUGAAAACAGUUAUUCGUAUCGUGCCCAUGGCUCCGGUGGUACUGACAAUACUUGUCAGGAUUUCUUUGAUCUGCUUCCGACUUCAUGG